ACCAGGAACGAUCUCAUCUGAUCUCAAGGUUGGAGUAAUUCAGGGUUCUGGUUCUAUUCAACAAGCUGCUCAACCUAAGAGGUCUAUGCGUGACUCCAUCAAAGAUCCAGAUCCCAGUUUUCCCUUGCCUAUGGGUUGGACAGUCAUGUCUACUAAGGCUAAGAAGAAAGAACUCAAAAAGUGGCAUAAUCGUCUCCGUUCUUCUGAGGCAGGUUCUAUUGAUUUAGCUGCUAGUAAGGACCUUGAAGGUCCUUCUUCUCAUUG
This 264-nucleotide small RNA is filed under the name Arabidopsis thaliana (thale cress). RNAcentral's name for it is "ATSL239700". Lineage: Eukaryota; Viridiplantae; Streptophyta; Magnoliopsida; Brassicales; Brassicaceae. The record is from RNAcentral.